ACGUUACCUUGUUACGACUUAACCCCAGUCAUCGAUCCUGCCUUCGACGGCUCACUCCUCUAAUGAGGUCAUGCCACCGGCUUCGGGCAUUACCGACUCCCAUGGUUUGACGGGCGGUGUGUACAAGGCCCGGGAACGUAUUCACCGCGGCAUGCUGAUCCGCGAUUACUAGCGAUUCCAACUUCAUGGAGGCGGGUUGCAGCCUCCAAUCCGAACUGGGACGGCUUUUAUGAGAUUCGCUCGACAUCCCUGUCUCGCUGCUCUUUGUAGCCGCCAUUGUAGUACGUGUGUAGCCCAGGCCAUAAGGGGCAUGAUGAUUUGACGUCAUCCCCGCCUUCCUCCGGUUUGUCACCGGCAGUCUGGCAUGAGUCCUCAGCUUUUCCUGUUAGCAACAUGCCACAAGGGUUGCGCUCGUUGCGGGACUUGACCCACCAUC
RNAcentral lists this ribosomal RNA (436 nucleotides) under uncultured bacterium. RNAcentral's name for it is "partial 16S ribosomal RNA". The record is from RNAcentral.